UUAAGUUCAGCGGUAGUCCUACCUGAUUUGAGAUCAAACGUUCAAAGAGCUGUCCUCGCCGAGGAGAGACAUUUAUGAGCCCCAGCGAACCUUCAUCGCUGAAGGUUACGUGGUGGAAAACCACAAGCGUAGAUAGUUAUCACACUCGUGAUGCCACCAAACACUGGCAAGCUGAUUCAUUUGAGAGGAGCCGACCGCAG
Molecule: unclassified non-coding RNA, 200 nt
Filed under: Tomentella sp.
Lineage: Eukaryota; Fungi; Basidiomycota; Agaricomycetes; Thelephorales; Thelephoraceae
Description: partial internal transcribed spacer 2
Source: RNAcentral